RNAcentral lists this ribosomal RNA (866 nucleotides) under uncultured bacterium. Its description in RNAcentral is "bacterial SSU rRNA". It matches the Rfam family "Bacterial small subunit ribosomal RNA", at positions 59 to 917 of the family's 1533-position model. The record is from RNAcentral.
CAGUCGAACGGCAGCACGGGUGCUUGCACCUGGUGGCGAGUGGCGAACGCCCUGAGAUAAUACAUCGGAACGUACCUUAUCGUGGGGGAUAACGCAGCGAAAGCUGUGCUAAUACCGCAUACGCCCUGAGGGGGAAAGCGGGGGAUCGCAAGACCUCGCGCGAUUAGAGCGGCCGAUGCCUGAUUAGCUAGUUGGUGGGGUAAAAGCCCACCAAGGCGACGAUCAGUAGCUGGUCUGAGAGGACGAUCAGCCACACUGGGACUGAGACACGGCCCAGACUCCUACGGGAGGCAGCAGUGGGGAAUUCUGGACAAUGGGGGCAACCCUGAUCCAGCAAUGCCGCGUGAGUGAAGAAGGCCUUCGGGUUGUAAAGCUCUUUUGUCAGGGAAGAAACACCGGCUCUAACACAGUCCGGGAAUGACGGUACCUGAAGAAUAAGCACCGGCUAACUACGUGCCAGCAGCCGCGGUAAUACGUAGGGUGCGAGCGUUAAUCGGAAUUACUGGGCGUAAAGCGUGCGCAGGCGGUUAUACAAGACAGGCGUGAAAUCCCCGGGCUUAACCUGGGAAUGGCGCCUGUGACUGUAUAGCUAGAGUGUGUCAGAGGGGGGUAGAAUUCCACGUGUAGCAGUGAAAUGCGUAGAUAUGUGGAGGAAUACCAAUGGCGAAGGCAGCCCCCUGGGAUAACACUGACGCUCAUGCACGAAAGCGUGGGGAGCAAACAGGAUUAGAUACCCUGGUAGUCCACGCCCUAAACGAUGCUGACUAGUUGUUCGGGAUUUACAUCCUGAGUAACGUAGCUAACGCGUGAAGUCAGCCGCCUGGGGAGUACGGUCGCAAGAUUAAAACUCAAAGGGAAUUGACGGG